Molecule: ribosomal RNA, 303 nt
Filed under: uncultured bacterium
Lineage: Bacteria
Description: partial 16S ribosomal RNA
Rfam family: Bacterial small subunit ribosomal RNA
Source: RNAcentral
AGCAAUAGCCGCGGUAAUACAGAGGGUGCGAGCGUUAAUCGGAUUUACUGGGCGUAAAGCGUGCGUAGGCGGCUUUUUAAGUCGGAUGUGAAAUCCCUGAGCUUAACUUAGGAAUUGCAUUCGAUACUGGGAAGCUAGAGUAUGGGAGAGGAUGGUAGAAUUCCAGGUGUAGCGGUGAAAUGCGUAGAGAUCUGGAGGAAUACCGAUGGCGAAGGCAGCCAUCUGGCCUAAUACUGACGCUGAGGUACGAAAGCAUGGGGAGCAAACAGGAUUAGAUACCCCCGUAGUCCCUGUCUCUUAUAC